Marmota monax (woodchuck) is the source of this 9223-nucleotide RNA transcript. RefSeq lists it as uncharacterized. Lineage: Eukaryota; Metazoa; Chordata; Mammalia; Rodentia; Sciuridae. The record is from RefSeq and is a predicted model, not a curated record. The transcript has 3 exons.
UUUGACUGAAACAACAAGCCCUGGACUUUGCCUUCGUUUCCAGGAGCGUUUAUUGAUACGCUCGAGCCUUGGGAGAGCCCAGGGGGGAGACAGAUAUUUCUGCCAUGUUUUGGCUGGGACCUCUCAGCUUUACAGUCCCAGGAUGACUGAGCAGCACAGCAGGAAGGACACACAAGGUCACCUGGGAACAUCUGAGAGAGAGCAGGGCCACUGAGCAGGUUUGGGAGAGAGCCUCGGGCCCUGAAGAUACCUUGGAAAUCAUUCUCAAGGUCACAUUCGGACAGACAGCACCAGGUAUGUGAGCGUGGACCCACAGGCAGCCGGGCAGCAAGACAAGGGCCACUGAAGCACUGGCAGAGGGUCUGCGUGCAACUGCCCUUGGCCUCAGACAGACUCACUGCACUUCCAAAGCUCUUUCACUUCUUUCCAAAAAUCUUAAAAGGACAGGAAGGAAAAGAAGGAUCAAAACCCAGGGGAAGAAAAGAGAGCUAUAACUCAGCUGAAGUCUCUCCCAGAGCUUCCCCUGUUCCCAUAAAUGUGUGUUUUGGAUGAAAGUUUGUGCUCUGGGCAAGGAGAGGAUCACAAUCUGAGAUUUCACACUGUAUCUGUUGGUCAGCAUCCUGGCAAGAGGCCGACAGUACACUCAAAACGGGUAAUGCGAGCAGCAUUUAAUAGAGCCACUGUUUUCAGGGAUCCCUGCAGGGUUUAAGGAAUCUGGAGGCUUGAGGCAGUGUCCUGGGGUUAACAGCAGGGACCCAUCUGCCCUUGCCAGCUGCACGGAGGGGACCUGGUACAGAGGAAGGGGCUUCACCCUACCCUGAAGGGAACAUGUCUGGGCACUGAGUAGCCUGACCUUGUUUUGCUCAGAAUUCCAGUUGGCAUGGACUAUUGCUCAAUCCAACCUGAGAAAGAGAGGGCAAGAGAGCCCGUUGAAGAUGGGCCCCUGGGGCAGGGCUAGAGGCUAGAGAUCUUGCGGUGCAUAGAUCCUACAGGGGGUUUGUGAAGAUGCAUGAGCUCUAAUGUUUUAUACUGGCAUCUCAUGUCAGGAGGUAUUUGAAGGCAGAACUUUUCCCAGAAAAGAUGUGCUUUGGACACCCCUAGCCCAGACAUACCCUCUGGCCCUUCCCAGGUCUAAGGUGGAUGACUUCUUAGAAAGAGCAGGUGUAAUUCACAAAACUAUAAACGUGCGCGAAGGGCACUGGAGCUGUGUCCAGCCCUCGCUGUGCUCCUCUGGGCCUGUGCUGUGUGCAGAGCCAGCCUCGGAAACAGAGGCUUAUUUAAUUUUUUUUCAAGACAGGCCACCUUGGGGUAGUUUUAUCUAACAGCAGGCAUAACGGACCUAAGGGCUAAAGGAAACCUCUCCUAGUUUUUGAAUAUAACUCAUUUGAAUGAACAUGGACAAAUGUGAUUAUUUUUUUCAAGAGUUUUAAGAAAAAGGAGACAUUUCAUGCACAGGAUAAAAAAGAAGAAGAGGAACAGGGCAAAUAAAACUCCCGCAGGACGCAUGCUCAGGGUCACCACGCGGAAGCCCGUUGUGCCGAGAUUCUCUAGGACAAAGGGAGAGAACAGCUUCUUGGAAAGGGAAGCAGAGGCCACGGCUGGGCACGGUCCUGCUGUGAGGCGCUGGAGAUCGGAGCCUGGGUGCCCGGUGCCAGGCAGUGUUAAUAGUGCAGGUCUUCAAGCAAGAAGGUGAAAAGGAAAACUCACACAAGUCACAGCGGGUGUCGUAAACCCAGAGAGAGCUUCUGCUGAGAGCUUGGGACUUCGUGAUUCACCCUGGGGACGUCUUCACCACAACUCUCUCACCUGCCAGUGCAAAGAUAAAAUUUAUGAACCGUGACAAACGUAUCAUCUCAGCGCCAACUCGACGGAUAACAAUGUGCGUGGUGAAGCCCAGUGUGCACCCCUUAUGCCCAUGUUCAUGGGGUGGGAGACAGAAGGAGACCUCCAGAACCCCAGUCUGCAAAUUCUGGAUGCAGGGGAGGCUCCCAACUCCUCCCCAGGAUUCAGGACGCUUUUCAGGGGAAGUAUUCGUUUGUGCAAAAAUUCUUCUAAAGUCACAUAGUUAAACUUGGACUAAUACGCAUUUUAAAUUUUUAUGUUGGGUGUUACCAUGGUUCUGUCCCCACGGCAAAAGGCACCAUAUUAGAUUUUAAUUCCCAGUGACUCAGCCACUUCCCUGUACCUUAUCCCACAUUCCCUUUAGAGCGUGAAGGGGCAGCGCAAGGCAGCAGGAAGAAAGGCAGAGUCCAGGCCAGCCACACCAGGGCCCGGGAUCACUCGACAGGCCACUGCAGUGCCACCUCCUGGGCCUGCUCCCCUUCCUCCCUAGAUGCAGAAAAACUGGAGGAGAUUCUUGACCUCUGAAAUGAGAUGUCACAUGAAUAUGAUUAAGAACAGAACACCUCCAAGCUUUCCAUCUAUAUGAUUGGUGAGAAGAUCAAUUUCAUAAGAAAAUCUUGAAUGCUCAUGAAUUCUGAAAAAUCCAGCAAUCACAGACGUUUGAACUCAUGUUCACAAACUCCGGCAGACCCCAGGAAACAGAAAAGGAGAUCUGUCGGCCCUGGGGCUUUCCUUCGCCCUUGCAGAGUGUGCCCCGGCUACGCGCUCUCGGCCUAACUCCAGAUGAGCUUCUUGGCCUUGCCUCCCUCCUCCUGGAGAACGGCGGAAUUUUACUCCUUUCCCAACUUUACAGAACAGCCUUGCAUAAGGCACAAAUGCGGGGACCAUAAUGAAGUGGAGGUAAUCCACAUCGUUUAAAGACACUUAUUGUGACAAAAUGGAUGGGCGAGGUGUCGGCAACACAGGCACACAUAAAUGAAACGCAUCCCACCGGAAAAGCAUUUUGCUCACAUUGUCAUUUACGGCUCCUGAAUUAAUAGACCACGAAAGGCACCACCGGCCCCAACAAAAUGCCAUAAAACCACUGGCAGCUAGUGGUGUCUCCAACUUUAAUUCCCCUGGGGAGAAAAGGACACUGCCUAAUCUGUAUUCAGUCCUGACAUUGGCCGCAUCUGAUAUGGAACAUUAGCUUCUAAGUCUCUCAAUAGACUAGUGUCCUUCAGUUUAUAUUACUUUAUGUUAAUAGUAGAAAAAUUACACACAACAUCAUUUAUCAUUGUUAUACUCUGCUAUACAUCCCAGAGCUUACUUUAAUAUAUUUAUUUACCCCUGAGACAGGGGGAAAUUAAAAAUAUAUAUGUUUCAAAAAAAAACCUAUAGGGAAAACAUCAAUGUAAAUCUCUAAAACACACACACUCACACACACACACACACAACUCCCUUGGGUUUGGGGGAAUCUAUUGUACAGCUCAGCUUGUGAAUGAUAACAUGUCUCUGCCUAAGGACAACAGCCCAGUGCACGGUGAUUCCUGGGACGAGUACGUAACAAAAAGAAACGUAUUAAUGAUAAUAGAUCUUUUGUCCCCUCGUCUCCCCUAGUGUUUUUCAUGUGUCAGUUUUUAUCCUUGGGUCCCUCUAGUUCAGUUAUUAGCUUUUUUGACAUCUGACCUCUAGCUAGGGAAAGGCAAGAAUUUCUGUUCUGUUUUUUUUAAUCCUUUGGGAAAGCACUGUCAACCGGAGCCUGACUUCUACUGUUUUGACCCAGAUUCCACAAGCAUGGAGUGCCAGCUCGUGUGGGUUGAAAAACAACCAGGCCACGGCUGUGCACAGGCCCUCCCUUCCGCUAAGCGGUUCUGCCCACACGAGGCUUUGGUGAGAGCAGCCUUGUCAGGACCCUCAAGUCCCCAUGGAGCACGGCAAGUCACCCCUUCUCCCUGAGCCUCAGUUUCCUCAGAAACAAAAGAAGCUGGGACGAUGUGAGCUGAGCCUCCUCAUGGCUCCCUUGGGUUUCUGGCCCAGAGACGCGUCUAUGAUACUAUUCAUUCAAGGAAGCUGGACGGAUGUUCCCAGGUUUCAGAAGAGCCCAAAGAAGCUCUGGAACACUGGGGUGGCUAAGGGCCCAGGUUGGACGUGGGGCCCAGCAGCCACAUGGGAAGUGGAACAGCAUGGCCCAGAGAGACCUGCACAGUGAGGGGAUGGGAAUGGGCCCCCUCCGCAUCUGAGGUCAUGCCUGCCGGGUGGCCUGUCGGGUGGCCUGUCGGGUGGCCUGUCGGGUGGCCUGCCGGGGCGCCUGUUUCUAUCUGACUUGUAUUAACUCAGUUUUAGCAUUUCAAGUGCACACCUUCAUGAUGCAGUGGGGGGUUAUAAAAUCUGCCCUUCCAGUCUUGUCCUGGGUCAGCCCUCCCCUGAGCAUCCCACAGACUGUCCUUUCACCCACACUUAGGGAGAAAGGCCAGGCAGGUACAAUGUCCCUAAUUUCAUUGAUAAGGAAAUUUGAGAUUAGAAAUACUUGCUGAGAAGCCUGAGCUCUUGAAGCAACGUCUGGCUGGAGGGCUGAGCCGGGGACUGGAGCCCAGCCCUGGCUCUCCGCCCAGGCAGGCCUCUCUCUAAUACACUGCAAAGAUAUCAAUAAACAGCUAGAUCUGAGAUCUGUGACGCAUGUGGACAAUAAUUUUUUUCCAAAAGGCAAAAUAAAACUAGCACCACCUGCACAAGACUGUGCAGUUUAAAAGCAGUGUGGUAAGUGAUGGACACCAGACAGCAAGCGAGCAGGCGUGUGCUGCUGAAGACCUGUCUCCUAGCUCUGCAGGCACCAGGGACUCCAUUUCCCAGGAUGCCCUGCAAUGGGCAUGGCCACAUGACAAGCUGUGACCAAUAGAAAGUGGGCAGAAGUGAUCUAGGCUUGCCCCAUAAAGCCUCCAGGGAGCCUUGUGCUUUGUGUUCCCUGCCUGGUGUCUGGAUGUGGGGGACCCAGCAGAGGAUCUGGAUGUUCUAGGGACAGUCAAAGAACAGAUGUCAAAGCCUGGGAGAAGGCGUCUCAAUGUCUACAUUGAUUGUUAUUUGAAACAGAAAUGCACUCUGGUCCCAGGACUUGCCAGCUGCAGCAGUUGGUCAACCUGAUUAAGGGAAGGUGUGAAGGAAAGAAAGACGUGUUUCUAAAUACAAUGAGAGGGCACAUCAAGACCCGUUCUUAUUGCCAGACUUUAGUAUUUACAACGCAGACAGACCCUCUUAGCCAGCAUGGGUAGCACAGAGCCAGGGGCCUUGGGAUCUUUAAGGACAAACACUCACAAAAGGUUCUCUGCCUUAUCUUAGUCGUCUUCAAUUGUCUUUUCCACUGAUUUUCUGUUUUCACUUAUUGCAAUCUCAUAUUUUUUAUUCCAUUUGAUACUACUAAUGAGGAUGGCGAGUUGCUACAUGCCAGCCACUGUCCUGGAUACCCUGUCUGCAAUGUCUCAUUCCAUCCUCAUACAUGGUGAGUAGAUGGCAUUGUCACCCCAUGUCCCAGGUGAGAAAACUGAGGGUGAGAAAUACCAGAGACUUGGCCACCAGAAUGAAUCCCCAGAAUAAAGGAAUGGAAAUUCAAGGGCAAAGAUGAAGAAUUAGGACAGAGGUUGGAGAACCUUUCUGUUAAAGCCUGCAGGUGGGCCCUCGAAUUCCAGGAUGCCCUUCCCAGGGCAGUACCACAGAACAGCAAGGAGUCAGAAGGCCCAGGGGCAAAGAGCCAGCUUCCCUCAGGCUGCCUCUGCUGAAGUUCCUGGGCAAGUUACAUGGGGUACUUUGCCUCAGUUUCCUUGGAAACUUGUGUGAAGCAUGAAUUACACGCUGCCCACAGAGCACGCUCUACACACUGCCUGACACACUGCACUCAAUAGACAAGCAGCCCUUGCCGUCAUCACCAGCAGCAUCACUGUCCCCUCCACCACCAGCGGCACCAGCCUCCCAAACGCUACCUGUGCAAUCACCAGGGAGCAAGACGCACUGGCAGCGGGUUCAAGACCAGCCUGGGCACUCCAGCACCCGUGACUGGAGGACUCCUUAUAGUGAUGAUGAAAUGAACUCAUCAGCCAUGAUGUCUGCGUGUGCUGGGCACUGAGCUAACAUUCAAAGGAAAGUGACGUCUUUGUCAUUGCCCCAGCCAAGGGCAAACAGGUACCAGCAGCCAUAAUUGACAGUUUUGCGCCUUAUGCUCACGCCUUCUGCUUUACUGUGGAGUCUACUGGGCUCACUAGCUGGAAGCAUGGGUGUCCCAUUGUCUCUGGCCCAUGUGUCACCCAGAGAGUACCGCUAAUGAGACCAGUAGGAGUAGUGGCAGUUACAACGUCAGCAGUGACAGCAGCAGUCAUAACUUACAAGGGCUCAGUGGGUGCCAAGAGUGUGCUGGCCACAUGAACACCUUACCUUGCUCACUCACCAGGCCGACCCGAGAGGGAGACAUUAUUUAUCCUUUUUCGGGGGGCAAGGGGUGAUGGGGAAACCGAUGUUCAGAGAGUUUAAGUAUUUUGCCUUAUGGGACGCACAUAGAAGGACCUGUCGUAGUCUUUUUGGGCUGCUAUAACACGAUGCCAUCAACUGUAGCUUAUACACAGCAGAAUUUCAUUUCUCACACUCUGGAGGCUGGGAAGCCCAGGGUCAAGGCUGAAGCAGAUGCAGGGUCUGGUGCGGCCCUGCUUCCCUAUAGAUGCUAUAAUGAUCUGGAUCUGGAAUGAUCCCCAAAGGUUAAGUCCCAAAGGCUUGGCACCAGUCCUUGAUGCUAUUGGGAGAUGGUGCAAUCUUCAGAAGGCGGGGCUUAGUGGAAGAAGUGAGGUCACUGGGGCUGUGACCUUGAAGGGAAUAUUGGCCCCUCCUCUCUCUCUCCUUGCUUUCCAGCACCCUCAGGUAAACAGACCUCUUCCACCAUGUGCUCCCACCAUGAGGUACGACCAUGGAUGGAAACCUCUGAAAUAAACUUUUAGUCUCUUUAAGUUGAUUUUCUCAGGCAUUUUGUCACAGUGACAAAAUCUGACUGACAUUGACUUUCAUUUCAUCAUCUUGAUGUGUCCUCAUUAGCUAGAGAUGGGGUAAAAUCGUUCUCUGGGCCUCUUUGAUAGAGGCACUAAGUCCAUUUUGAGGUCUCCGUCCUUAGGAUCUAAUCAAUUCUCUAAAGGGUCCACCUCUUAUUGAAUGUGUUUUGGGAGAAAACACAAACAUCCAGGCCUCAGCAGGAGUUGAAUCCAGACCUUUGUAACCAAAAGCCCAUGUCAUCAAUCAGUUUGCAUAGGGCAGGAGUCCUUCUGAGCCCUACCUGCCCAGCGCCCUCUGCCGUGUCAGUAAUCGGCCAUUGCUUUGACCUGGUUCUUCUUAGGAACUCUUCUAGGCUAUGACUACCCCACUGAGGGGAUGAACCGCGUUUGUAACAUUUCAGAAUGAAAUCAUCAGUCAUUUCCUUAAUGGCUGAAGAGUCUGACAAAAUUUUUUUUCCUGUGUGCUAUGUGAUCACACUGCAUAAUAUUUAAACAAUAAAGGUUACCUCUCAUGUACUAUUGCUGUGUUUUAUGCUAAUAACCAGAAUCAUUUAAUCAUUAUGAGCUAAUGAGCUGCAAAAUUUCAUUUUAAAAAUGAAGUCGUAUCAGGGCCUCUGGAAGGCAAAAUUGGAUAAAAAAUGAGGAAGGCCGAUGUUCAAUUUGUAUUCGUGAAUGGAGAGCGGCUGCAGAGCCCGCGUGGAAGCAUUUGAGUUGAGCAGUAGGAGGAAUCGUGCCCUGAACUAGAAGCAGGAAGGAAAUUCUUCACCUUACAAGGCUUAGGGGCAUCCGCCUGGCACCAAGGGAAUAGAGAUUCCUGUUCUGGCACCCAGUUCCCCACAGAGGCUCAGAUGCAUGACUUUCCUGCUGUCUGCAAGCCCUCCAGGCAUCUAGCUUAGGAGACUGCUACACCUUGGCAUCCCAGGGGAGCAGAGACCUGUGGGCCUCACAGCUUCCUGCCGUGACCCUGGUGAAUGAUCUGGCCUUCCCGGCUUCCCCUUCCCUGAACCCCUCCUUAAAGGCAGGUACUAAGCCAUGCUCAGCCAGCCCACACUGUUCUGGAGAAGACUCAUCUUAGAUUUUUACUGGGGAGAUGAACCUGGAGGCCUGUGAGUCACCCAGGCCAAAAGCCAGCCUCCUCCUUCCUUGCUAACUGAACUCGGAUUCAGUUUGGGUGGCAAAGCUCCUGAAGCUGAAUCACAGUCAGUCUAUGCUAAUCAGAUUAAUGUGCAUGAAUGGCCUUAGCAUUCACCACCACUUACCUAUGCCCUCUGCUGUGUGAACUUGCAGCGUCACAGUGGAGGCUGGAAAAUAAUUCCUUACCCCUAAAUCUGACCCUAUGAUUCGCUUUAGUCUACAGGAAGCAGCACUGGUACCCCGUGGCUCACACUGGUUCACAAGAGCCACCUAUUAAAUCCUCAGGGACUUCACAAGCCAGUUGAAGUCAUGAUUCCAAGUUAGAUUGUGUUGGUCCCAAAAUUCAUGUAGAAAGGGGCUCAGAAUAUCCAAAAUAACCUUGAAAAUGAAGAAGUCAGAUGACUCACACAUCGCAAUUUCAAAACUUACUACAAAGUGAUAGGUCUUUGGGAGGAGAGACUUGUGACAUGCAGCAAGUAUGUGACAAGGGUCCAAUAUCCCAACCAAUACACAACUUAUUACUCAAGCACAAAUGAUGAGCAGCCUAACUAAAAAAGUGGGCAGAGAGAUUUCUACAAAGGAAAUCCUCAAAUAACCAGUAAGCACACAAAAGGGUGUGUUUGUGAGGGAAACACGAAUCACAGUCACGAGGUACCACUUCACUCUUACCAGGACGGCUGUGAUUUCAAAAUCAAAACAAAUGGAAAUUGCAAGUGAUGGCAAGGAGGUGGGGAGACAGGACCCCGCACUGCUAGCAGGAAGGCAGCAUGGUGGUGCCACUGGAGGGAACCAUUGCUAGCUCCUUUGAAAGUUAAAUGCUUAGCUGUCAUGUGACCCAGUAGGUUCAUGCCUAAGUACAGAUCCAAGAAAACAGGUGUCUACAACAAAACACAUGAACCACCGUAGGUAGCAGCAAGAUUCCGAAGACCUGAAAAGUAGAAACAACACAAUGUCUAUCAGCUGGCAGCUGGAGAAACAGAACACAGUGUUUGCAUAUGAUGGAGUAUUAAACACUUGUGAAAAGGGGUGAAGCUUGGCACGUUCUAGAACACAGACGGGCCUUGGAACCUUUUGUGGAGGGAAGAGGCGGGGCACAGAGGUCCCAUCCUGUGCAGUUCCACUUACGUGGACCUUUCAGAUGAGGCAAACUCACAGAGUAGAGAUUCUCAGGGGCGGUGUAGACAAUGGGACAUGACUGCUCAGUGGACACAAGGUUCCUUUUGGGGGAAAUGAAAAUUCUCUGG